RNAcentral lists this ribosomal RNA (482 nucleotides) under uncultured bacterium. RNAcentral's name for it is "bacterial SSU rRNA". It matches the Rfam family "Bacterial small subunit ribosomal RNA", at positions 22 to 515 of the family's 1533-position model. The record is from RNAcentral.
GCUCAGGAUGAACGCUAGCGGCAGGCCUUAUACAUGCAAGUCGAGGGGCAGCAGGACACUUCGGUGUUGCUGGCGACCNGGCGAACGGGUGAGUAAUACGCAUGUAAUCUACCUUGUACUGGAGAAUAGCUUCCAGAAAUGGAAAUUAAUACACCAUAAAAUCUUAGCAGCGCAUGCUGUUAAGCUAAAAGCUCCGGCGGUACAAGAUGAGCGUGCGUCCUAUUAGCUAGUUGGUGAGGUAAAAGCUCACCAAGGCUACGAUAGGUAGGGGUUCUUAGUGGAAGGCCCCCACACUGGCACUGAGAUACGGGCCAGACUCCUACGGGAGGCAGCAGUAAGGAAUAUUGGCAAUGGGNCAAGCCUGAACCAGCCAUGCCGCGNCAGGAUGAAGCCCUCAGGUUGUAAACUGCUUUUGACAGGACAAAAAGCUUCUGCGAAGUACUGAGUGACUGUAAGAUAGCACUGCUAACUCCGUGCACAGC